This 117-nucleotide ribosomal RNA is filed under the name uncultured eukaryote. RNAcentral describes it as "partial small subunit ribosomal RNA". The record is from RNAcentral.
GUUGGCGGUACCAGAAGUCGAUGGCUUUAACCUUCGGGAGGGCGUCGACCACGGUGUGGUCAAUGACUGGGGUGAAGUCGUAACAAGGUAGCMGUAGGUGAACCUGCAGAAGGAUCA